RNAcentral lists this ribosomal RNA (458 nucleotides) under uncultured bacterium. RNAcentral's name for it is "SSU rRNA". It matches the Rfam family "Bacterial small subunit ribosomal RNA", at positions 26 to 518 of the family's 1533-position model. The record is from RNAcentral.
AGAAUCAACGCUGGCGGCGUGCCUAACACAUGCAAGUCGCACGAGAAAGGGUAGCAAUACCUGAGUACAGUGGCGCACGGGUGAGUAACACGUGAAUAAUCUACCUCCGAGUGGGGAAUAACUGAGAGAAAUCUUAGCUAAUACCGCAUAAUACCCACGGGUCAAAGCAGCAAUGCGCUUGGAGAGGAGUUCGCGGCAGAUUAGUUAGUUGGCGGGGUAAUGGCCCACCAAGACGAUGAUCUGUAUCCGGCCUGAGAGGGCGCACGGACACACUGGAACUGAAACACGGUCCAGACUCCUACGGGAGGCAGCAGUGGGGAAUUUUGCGCAAUGGGGGAAACCCUGACGCAGCAACGCCGCGUGGAGGAUGAAGCCCCUUGGGGUGUAAACUCCUUUCGAUCGGGAAGAUAAUGACGGUACCGAUAUAAGAGCCCGGCUAACUUCGCGCCAGCAGCCGC